UGCUGGUUCCCCUGGUAACUGACGAGCCAGCAUGACGUCAGUUCCCCUAAAAAGGCAGCCUCCUUCUCCCCGCCCAGGAGUGAAGAUGGCGGCUGUGUUCUGUUCUCUGGCCACUGCACACAAGGGGCUGGUGCUCCAAGACUUUGCUUCACACAUGUAAGUUCCCCUGGACAGCAAACCGUUGAUGCUCUGUUGCUGUAUGCAGGUUCUUUUUUCUGUCUCAAGGCUGAGCUACUACAAGGCUCAGCAUGGGGUUUUGGAAGGAGACAUCAACCCAGAAACCUCAGUUAGGAUCCCAGCUCCUCUCAAAAUCCCCCACUUGGCCAGUUUGUUCGUCUGCAACGAAGAUAUGUCCUACUCUUUACCUUGCACUUCUCCAUGAUAACCACUGAUUGGCCCCAUUUUACGCAGAAUUGACACAGAGGCUCAGAAAGAUGAAGUGACUUGCCCAAGGUGUUACAGCAAGUUGGGAUUCAGUCCAAUGCCUGAGUCCCCCAAUGCCAUGCUUUCUGUCCCACAGUGGGAGCCCUGGGCACAAUUUGACUGCUUUUUCACUUUUGGGAAGUGAAGUCCCAGCGCACAGCCCACCCAGGGGCAUCUGUGAUGCACACCAUCUCCCUUUGUGCCCUGGUUCUGCAUGCCUCCCACUGUGAGAACCCUGAGAAACAGGCAGAUGAGCAACCAUGGAUCCAGAUCCUUUGGAGUCACUUCCUGGCAGAUGCCACAUCUAAGGACAUCCCAUGCCCUGCCAAGGGCUGUUUGGAUAUUCCAGCAGACCUGGAUCAGGGGAAGCAGCUCAGCUUGGAAACAGAAUUGUCCACAGAUAGAUAGAAAUAGAACCUGUGAGCUGAAAACUAUGACUGAUGCUCUGUUCCCUGGCCUGGCCCAGGGCUUCCUUCUGAUGAAGUCAGCACUGCUGUGA
Molecule: long non-coding RNA, 922 nt
Filed under: Sus scrofa (pig)
Lineage: Eukaryota; Metazoa; Chordata; Mammalia; Artiodactyla; Suidae
Description: lncRNA (ENSSSCG00070002533.1)
Source: RNAcentral